GGUGUGGGAGAUGGGUGACCUGCAGGGCAGCCUCCAUCCUUGACCAGCCUGCUGUGAUCCCCUGGCACCAAAUGCAUCCGAGCCCCUUCAGCUCUGCCUGUUCUAGGGAAACAUUUCUAGAGAGGUCCCUGGCCCCGAGGUUGAGAUGCAGGCUGCGCGGCUGAGAGAGUUCCCCGCCUCCCCCUCGGCUUCUCCGUGACAGCUACAAAUAGUCUCUUGAAUGUAUUUAAUAAACCCGGGGAAGGAGUUGUGGCUGCCUGGCCUCUGCUGGGGAGAGUGAUGGAUGUCUUCAAUGGGGAGAGGAAAGAAAACUUUCUAAAUGGACUCAAUUUAGGGAAGGAAAGUGGUCUGGAGGGAGUUUUUUGGGUGCCAACUCGUACAUGUGAAUGUGCAGCAGGGCCUAAGUGUCUUUGUGGCCCCUGCCGGAGCUGGGAACUCCCGGAGCCUUAGGCUCCACUGCCCGCGACCACACUCAACGCCCAGAAGAACAUUUGCAGGCCCUGAAAAACUCUUCUGUCCUCGGACCUUUAAAGUAAGGGCUGGAGUGGACACAUGGUGCCUGGCCCUUGGGGAUUCUGAAGUCUCCCCUUUAUUUCCCAAGAGGAGGCUCUGCCUCUUGUACCAGGAACCUUGUGAGGUGGGGAAGGUGUGGCUGCCACGUGUGUUUCUCUUGGAAGAGAAGAAGCAUGCAGGGCGAGGAGGGCUCAGACAGACCUGGGCAGCCGUGAGCAGAGGGCGUGACCGUGGACCCCAUGCGGGGCCCGUCGUCGUUGUAGGCCUCCCUGAAGAGCUGUGACUCACAGAGAAGGAAAGCUCUUUGGGCAGAAACUGAGGGAACCACACAGGUUCCGUAGCGCAAGGGAGCCUCUCCACGCCCCUGACCCAGACAGGCUUGUGUAUGACCUUUCACUCUGCCCCCUGUCCCCCUUCCACCUAUGGGUGGGUCCUGCUACUUCUCAAACACUUCCCUCACCUGAUCAGUAUUUAAAAAAUGUUUCAGGAGUUCCCACCAUGGCUCAGUGGGCUAAGGACCCAACCAGUAUCCAUGAGGAUGCGGGCUUGAUCCCUGGCUUCACCCAGUGGGUUAAGGCUCUGGCAUUUCUAUGAACUGUAGUGUAGGUCAUAGAUGUGACCCAGAUCUGGUGUUGCAGUGGUGCACCUGUGGCGCAGGCUGGCAACUGCAGCUCUGAUUUGACCCCUAGCCUGGGAACUUCCAUAUGCCACAGGUAUGGCCAUAAAAAGAAAAAAUGAUUCAGCAGCUCUUCUUGGGUGAGUGAAAAGCUUCCAGAGAAAAAUCCUCUACCUCUGGAAAAUUAAAAUAAGAGGUAAACUUGCAGAAUUCUUUAAGGGAUCAGCCUUGGAUUUCCCUCCCUGACACCAGCCUCAGAGAGGAGGAACGUGGAACGAAAGACAUGGGGAUGUUUAUUGGGGGGGUGGGAUGCACCCCACACACACCUACGUGCACAAACUCGCAAUCAGAUAACUGGCAGCCACUUUGGUUUUCUUCAACUAUCCAUCAUCACCUGACAUCCAUGAGAUGAGCUCAGCCCUUUCAGAAGCUAUUUAUAUUUUCAGCAUGUCCCAUCUCUACAUUUACAAGCUUCCGUAUGAAGUCACACUUUCUCUCUCAGUCUUUAACUAGCCCCAUAAAACUUCAAAGGGCACUACCUGGACACAAGCAGAUAUAAAGAAAGCACAGGACAGAUAUCUUCAGACUCAGAACUAGGUAACAAGUAUACAUACCAGAGGCAAAGUCUAAAAUCCUUGCAGGUUGAAGGUUUUAGUGGAGAGCUUAGUAUGGGCAAAUCUCGUGUUUCUGGAGAGGAAGGUUGAGGAAACCGUUCUGGCUUCCCCUCCUGUUGCUCCUGGAGGAGGCAACAUUUCCCAAGCUGCUUGGACACAGGAUGGCUCUGACAGCCUGGACCAGGAAGGGUGUUCUAGACAGGGGGUCGGAAGCGGAAGGAAGAAGAUGGGAUCCAAGCUCAAUGUGGGCAGCGUCAAGGGGUGUCUCUCAGCCCCUCCAUUCUGAGGUCCUCAUGCCAGCAGCAGCGAGACCUGGGAUCAUGACACUCCACUGGCCCAAGAAGGAAGCAGGACCUGCAGAACCCACUCUAGGCCACUGGAGCCAUGGCCCCCUGGUGCUUCUUCCCACCCAGAGGGGCAUAACCUGCCCCCCGUCCCUCAGAGUCACUCUUUUCCAAACCACCGCCUGGCGCCACAGUGCUCCUCCUGCUCUCCCAGCAGGCUUCUUUGUGGCUUUGACCACCAUAGGUCCCAUGGAGCCUCUCUGCAGUGGGACCAGAUGGUUCCCAUUCUUGUCCCCCAGGCUGCACCCAGGUGUCCUGUGGGAGCAAGGCUUAUGCACAGACCUGUACAGAAGUGCAGAGUCUUAGAUGGAAUCAGAUCUUCCGCAAGACAAAAGGAGGAGGAGAGCUGGGGGCAGGACAGAUGGAGGUAAUACUAGUACUCGCCUCCAGGGGCGCUGUGGGGAAGAAAGAGAAAAUGCAGGGACAGUACUUAGCGCGGUGGCUGGCUGGUGGUGAGUGCUUAGCGAAUGGCACCAGUAGCUUCGAGCCCUAGAGGAACCGCCUGGCCUCAGUCUUAUGACCCAAUGAGGUAGGGUUUCUGUGUUUAACAGAGCUCAGCUACUUCCUUCUGUUUUCCACUAUUCUGGGCUGUAAGAUGUGGCCUUCCUCCUGAGGGAAGGGAAUUCAGUCUCUGGGGAGCAGUGGAAAAGGAGAAAUACAAAACUGAAAAUAAUAAAGUGAGCACCUCGUGUGUGCUGGGGCAAAAUCCUAGAUGUUUUGAGUAUAUCCCUUUCUUUUGCAUAUAUUCCUUUCAUCUUUUUUGGUAUUAUAAUUAUGAAAAAUUUUCAAAUAUACACAGAGGUAGAGAGGCUACCCACCGAACCCCCUGUGCCCAUCCCCCGAUUUUAAUGAUUACCAUGAUUUUGCCACACUUACUUCAUCUUCCACCUUCUUGCUCAUUUUGUUUUUACUUUUGCUGAGUUAUUUUAAAGCAAACCCCAGACAUUAAUCAUUUCACGCCUCUGUAUGUCAGCAGUCAUUUAUACAAAAGAGGGACACAUUCUUACCUGACCAUAACGCCAUUGUCACCCCUAACAGUAAUGGCUUGGUAUAUCUGAUACCCAAUCCAGAUUUGAAUGUCCCAACUUCACAUACACAGUGUUUCAUCCUCACUUCUUCCCGGUUAAGUCAGGAUGCUCUCUCCCAUUUAACCACACAACUCAGGUUAGAUGGUGCACCCAGCCCCCAGCCCCCAGCCCCCAGGAACUGGCCAAGCCCUGCUGAGGGUGGGCCGAGCCCAUAAGCUCCCUCUAUGCCACGCUGAGGGUGGGAGGGCCUGGGAAGCCCAGGGGACCAAGGGAACAAGGGCCAAGUCUGGUUGAUGCCUCCACAGACACAGGUUUGCUCUGGCUGGCACUGCAGGCCCCACCCAAAGACUGUUUCUAAGGCCCAGAGUCUGCCCAGUGAACAGCACCGUGGUGUCCAGGACAUCCAAAGACUCUGAUACGACAAGAUCCCAAGUCAUGGUCUCUGCCCUUUAGGAGCUUAUGAUCCAUGGGGGGCGGGGGUGGGGCUUACCCUGCAGAAACAGCUCCAGAGCAAUGGUAGGGCCAAGUGGGAGGUGGAAAUGAACGUGGUAGGGGUUCAGAGGAGGGACUGGUGGGUGGGGAAAGGUGUGAUAGAGAGAGAGGCUGGUGGUGCAGCAGAAUAGCACGGGCUUGGUGGCCAAAGACAUGAUUUAGAAUCCCAGCUCUGUCACGUACCAGCUUUGAAACGUUACGGUCCCGAGUCCCAGUUUACCUCACUGGUAAAAUGGACCCAGUCAUCCCUCUUCACAGCUCACGAAAGGCCUCCCUGUGAAUGAUAAGCAGGUAUUGCUUGCUUCCAUCUCCCAUGGUUCCAUGGGGACGGCAGUCCCUGAAUGAGACCUAGGCUGGUUGCAGGGCAAGGUCACUCCCUUGGCCUCAACUCCCUCCACAUCCUAGGGUGGGAAUCUACAACUAGUGAUGCUGCUGCCAUGUCCCCAGCCUCAGCCUUUUCCUCUCCUGCAAAUCUGUCUCCCUCUUCUGGGUCAGGACCCUCCCAUCUAAGAGCUUAAGGAGGUUCUGGUCUGUCACUCUGGAGCCAAUGCCAACCUGAUCGCCUCCAUCCCUUUCUAGACAAUUAAAAAGCUACCCACUGUCCGGGUCACAUGGGAAGGCUGCUCAUCACGUGCAGCUGUGUGUGGAGGCAGAGUGGGUGUCUGCUCAGGGAGUAUUGGGUGUAUGCGUGCGUGAGACACCAGGGAGGUCAUUAUAUCCUCACCUUGGAUGCAGACAACUAACCAUAAGAGGCAUUCUUGCACUGAUGUGCUCGCAGAGGAUGCUGAAAUUAGACUCGUAAGAUAAAGAGCUAAGACUGGGUUUGCCUGCUCCCUAGCAGCCCUGUAGCCUUUGGGGUGAUCAGUCUCCAUUGUUAGGGGUGGGGAGAAGGUGGCACUUAGCCAUCUGUGUCACAAGUGAUCUCUGUCUGGGACCCUUGGGUCAACUAGCUCCCAGUUCUGGCAUCCGAUCAGACCCAAAUUACUUGGCAAGAUGGCAGGGGAACUGAGCUGUGGCCUCACCCCAACUGGAAACAUGCAAUCUCGCCUUGCCAGUUGGAGUGGUUCUAACCCGAUUAGCUACAGAAUGCAAUGUGUGUAUUCCCCUCUCUC
RNAcentral lists this long non-coding RNA (4719 nucleotides) under Sus scrofa (pig). Its description in RNAcentral is "lncRNA (ENSSSCG00065020918.1)". Lineage: Eukaryota; Metazoa; Chordata; Mammalia; Artiodactyla; Suidae. The record is from RNAcentral.